ACUUGAAUUAAGAGGCAACUCUUAACUGGCCAGUUAGGGAAAGACCGAGAGGUUUAAGCUUAACGGGCAGAAAGCUUCACAAAGUAGCACUAAACAUAGUGAAGCGGGGGGUCUGGCGGUAGUGCUAAAACGACGGACCAA
This 141-nucleotide non-coding RNA is filed under the name unclassified sequences. RNAcentral describes it as "IMES-2 RNA motif". It matches the Rfam family "IMES-2 RNA motif". The record is from Rfam by way of RNAcentral.